CUUCUUUUAAAUUGUUGCUGAUAUUAUAAGAUCAACAAGUAGUAAAAUAUUCAUAUCCGAUACGCGUUUUGAUACACUCGUUUUAUCUCUUAUUCUUUAUUAUUUUCAGUAUUUUAUAAUUCUCGUGUUUGUUUUAUUUUUUAUUUGUAUGAUGUCGUCUAGUAAAGGUAUGUUUCAUAAGGGAGGGCGUAAGAAUAAAGGUAAGACACCUAGCUCUGUUAAUCAAAAACUUCCUCGUAAGUCUGAAGACGAUUCUUCAGAAAAUAGCGAUGCAUAAGUAGAACAUUGUGCGCAUAAAAAUAAUCAUGAAAGUAUAUCGAGUGAGGAGAACGAAGAGUAGGAGGAAGAGUGUGACGUUUCUAGUGAGGAACAAUUUAUUGAUGAUUCGAUUAAUGAGAAAUUACUUAGUAAUAAAAAGAGAGGUAAAAUAGAAAUGGUAAAAUCAGUUGGUAGUCAAUAUUUACGUUAUGACUUUACUUCUUAUAAAAAUUUUACUAUAUAUAUUAAUAGAAUAUACACUGAUCCUUUUAAUGGUAUUCCUAGAGUUACUUGUAAAAAUGAUGUUCUCAAUUUUUAUUAUAUACAAUAUCAAUGAUAUUUAUGUUAUUUAUUUUCGAAACUUGAUUGUAGAGUCUCUCUUACACUUGAUAUUGUUCGCAAUGUUCGUAACUUAGAUUAUUUACUAGUUACAUGUCAUUGCAUAGAUAGUAAUUGGGUAAUGAAAAAACGUGUUAUAGCUUGUCGUUUUAUUGAAGAUAAACAUAAUGGUCCUUUUAUUGCUAUAUUUAUUCAUGAUAUUUUAAUAUCGUACGGUCUUAGAAAUAAGAUUAUGUGUAUUUGUUUUAGUAAUGCUUUUAACGAUACUAAUUUUCAUGAAAAAUUAGAAAUACAAUCUGUACCACCUUUAAAUGAAAAUUUUCAUAUUAAAUGUAUAUGUGAUUUUUUGAAUUUAGUUGUACAUGAGAUCAUUGAUUUUUUUAGUUCUUAUAUUACUAAAAUUAGAGGGGCAAUUUUAUUUAUUUUUCAAAAUAAUUCAAAAACAAGAAUUGAAGAAUUUAGGAAAAAUUGUAGUAAUAUUUAUAACCUUAUUCCAAAAAAAAAUACCUAUAGAUAUUGCUGCAAUGUGGAAUUCUUUAUAUGUUAUGUUAAAUGUUGCAUAUAAAUAUAGGGAGCCUAUAUCUGAUACAUAUAAUAAUUAUACUGAAAAUUCUGCUAAUUUUUUAAUUGAUUCAGAUUGGGAUGUUGUUAAAUAUAUUGUCAAAAUUUUAUCAAAAUUUUAUCACGCUGCUAUAGAAUUUUCUAGUAACUGUAAUCCCACUGUUAGUAGUGUUUUAAUUUUUAUAGUUGACAUUACUUUUUUACUUUUAAAAUCAAAAUAUAAGGAUAAUGAAAUUUUAAAAGAUGUUAUUAUUGCAAUAAAGGAAAAAAUCAAAAAAUAUUUUAUUCCUAUGCCCACUAUUUUUCAAAUUGGUGCUGUAUUAAAUCCUGCUUUAAUACAACAUUUAGAAGAAUUUACAAAAUUAUUUUAUGAAUUUUUAGAAAUUGGUGAGGGAGAAAAACCAGAUUUGGAAACAGCUAAAUCUAGUUUAUUUUCAAAUAGACAAGCAUUAUAUGAUUAUUAUAAAUCAAUUAGUCCAAAACCUUCUAAAAAAACAAAUCAUAUAGAAAGUUUAAUAGAUGAUUUAAUAAGCAAAUCUCAAAAUGAGUUUAAUGAGUUAAAUUUUUAUUCAACGCAGUCUAUGCACAGUAAAACUAGUAUUUUGGAAUGGUGGAAGGCAAAAUCAACAUGGUUUCCUAUUGUUUCGAAAAUGACUCGAGAUGUGCUAAGUGUUCCAGUUGUAUCAAUCGUGGUGUUAGAAUAUGCUUUUAGUCGAGAAAAGAUGCAAAUUGGUGAUGACAACAACCACUCGGUGUCUGGGCCAGGGUUGGAAGUGUUGGUAUGUUUGAAAGAUUGGAUUAAAGCAUAGAGAAGAAUUCAAGGCGUAGAAGAAAAGCAAUUAGAAAUGAUGAAUUUGAAGAUGUUAUAAUAAUGUUGACUGAUCAAAAGGAGGAAAG
This 2055-nucleotide long non-coding RNA is filed under the name Capsicum annuum. RNAcentral's name for it is "long non-coding RNA (CANN_LNC019914)". Lineage: Eukaryota; Viridiplantae; Streptophyta; Magnoliopsida; Solanales; Solanaceae. The record is from RNAcentral.